This 497-nucleotide ribosomal RNA is filed under the name uncultured bacterium. RNAcentral's name for it is "partial 16S ribosomal RNA". It matches the Rfam family "Bacterial small subunit ribosomal RNA", at positions 28 to 507 of the family's 1533-position model. The record is from RNAcentral.
GAUGAACGCUGGCGGCGUGCCUAAUACAUGCAAGUCGAGCGAACAGAUGAGGAGCUUGCUCCUCUGACGUUAGCAGCGGACGGGUGAGUAACACGUGGAUAACCUACCUAUAAGACUGGGAUAACUUCGGGAAACCGGAGCUAAUACCGGAUAAUAUAUUGAACCGCAUGGUUCAAUAGUGAAAGACGGUUUUGCUGUCACUUAUAGAUGGAUCCGCGCCGCAUUAGCUAGUUGGUAAGGUAACGGCUUACCAAGGCAACGAUGCGUAGCCGACCUGAGAGGGUGAUCGGCCACACUGGAACUGAGACACGGUCCAGACUCCUACGGGAGGCAGCAGUAGGGAAUCUUCCGCAAUGGGCGAAAGCCUGACGGAGCAACGCCGCGUGAGUGAUGAAGGUCUUCGGAUCGUAAAACUCUGUUAUUAGGGAAGAACAAAUGUGUAAGUAACUAUGCACGUCUUGACGGUACCUAAUCAGAAAGCCACGGCUAACUACGUG